UGAAUGUAUGACAGAGCUCCACAGCAAUGUACCCCGUAGUAAUGUGCAGUGUAUGACAGAGCUCCACAGCAAUGUAACCCUUAGUACUGUGCAGUGUAUGAGUGUAUCACAGAGCUCCACAGCAAUGUAACCCUUAGUACUGUGCAGUGUAUGAGUGUAUCACAGAGCUCCACAGCAAUGUAACACUUAGUAAUGUGCAGUGUAUGACAGAACUCCACAACAAUGUAACACUUGGUAAUGUGCAGUGUAUGACAGAACUCCACAGCAAUGUAACCCUUAGUAAUGUGCAGUGUAUGACAGAACUCCACAGCAAUGUGACCCAUAGUAAUGUGCAGUGUAUGACAGAACUCCACAGCAAUGUAACCUUUAGUAAUGUGCAGUGUAUGAGUGUAUGGCAGAGCUCCACAGCAAUGUGACCCAUAGUAAUGUGCAGUGUAUGACAGAGCUCCACAGUCAGUGACUGAAAUUAAGCAGCAUACUAAAAAAAGAGUAACAAAAUUAUCUAUAUGUAUAAUUCAUUUCUCCCCACAUCUUACACUGACGAGCCAUAACUUUAAAAACACCGACCUAAUAUUAUGUAGGUCCCCCUCGUGCUGCCAAUACAGCUUUAAUGUAUCAAGACAUGGACUCAACAAGAACUCUGAACGUGUCCUGUGGGAUCUGACAUCAAAACGUUAGCAGCAGAUCCAGUGGAAGAGGUCACUGCCAUCGGGGAAUACCAUUGCUAUGAAGGUGUGUACAUGGUCUGCAACAAUCUCUAGGUAGAUGUUAAGCAUCAAAGUAAUAUCCAAUGGCAGAACCCAAGGUUUCCCAGCAGAACAUUGCCUAGUGCAUAACACUGCCUCCGCCGGCCUGCCUUCUUCCUACUGCCAUCCACCUGAUCUAAAAGAAAAUAUUGCUCCAUGGUCCAGUUCUGAUGCUCACAUCCUCAUUGACUGCAUUUUUAGCAGUGGACAUGGGCCAUCAUGGGCACUCUAACUGGCCUGUGGCUACGCAGCCCCAUACGCAGCAAACUGUGAUGCACUGGGUGUUCUAAUACCUUUAUGUCAUGGCCACCAUUAAGUUUUUUAGCAAUUUGAGCUACAGUAUCUCUUCUGUGUGAUCGUAACAGACAAGCUAGCCUUUGCUUCCUACGUGCAUCACUGGGCCUUGGACAACUAUAUGCUGACGUAAGUUCACCGGUUGACCUUCCUUGCACCACUUUUGGUAGGUACUAACCACUAUACACCAAGAACACCCCACAAUACUUUCUAUUUUGGUGAUGUUCUCACUCUGUUGUCUAGCUGUCACUAUUUGGCCCUUGUCAAAGUCACUCAGAUCUUUUCUGUUGUCCAUUUUUCCUGUUUCCAACACAAGAAAUUCAAGAACUGACUCUUCACUUGCUGUCUAAUACAUCCCACCACAUGACAGGUGACAUUGUACUUAUAUAAUCAAUGUUAUUCACUUGUCAGUAGUUUUAAU
Molecule: non-coding RNA, 1461 nt
Organism: Pelobates cultripes (western spadefoot toad)
Lineage: Eukaryota; Metazoa; Chordata; Amphibia; Anura; Pelobatidae
Source: the annotation of a GenBank genome assembly